AUGUUGUAUGAUCAGGUGUCACAUGUCAUGUUCAGUACUGGAGUGGUAAAUGCAGGUUGUAUGAUCAGGUGUCACAUGUCAUGUUCAGUACUGGAGUGGUAAAUGAAUGUUGUAUGAUCAGGUGUCACAUGUCAUGUUCAGUACAGGAGUGGUAAAUGAAUGUUGUAUGAUCAGGUGUCACAUGUCAUGUUCAGUACAAGAGUGGUAAAUGCAUGUUGUAUGAUCAGGUGUCACAUGUCAUGUUCAGUACAGGAGUGGUAAAUGAAUAUUGUAUAAUCAGGUGUCACAUGUCAUGUUCAGUACAAGAGUGGUGAAUGAAUGUUGUAUGAUCAGGUGUCACAUGUCAUGUUCAGUACAGGAGUGGUAAAUGAAUGUUGUAUAAUCAGGUGUCUCAUGUCAUGUUUAGUACAGGAGUGGUGAAUGAAAGUUGUAUGAUCAGGU
This 441-nucleotide long non-coding RNA is filed under the name Mytilus galloprovincialis (Mediterranean mussel). Lineage: Eukaryota; Metazoa; Mollusca; Bivalvia; Mytilida; Mytilidae. The record is from RNAcentral.